UAGUAACAGUAGCUCUCUUACCUCUUUCUGAAGUCCAAACUUUCCUCUCUUAUCUGCUCAACAUUGUGCUGCGGAGAGUUGGUUGCGCCUGGGAAGCCUGAGCAGAGUGACGAGGUGCUCUGCCCAAUCACAGCAGCCCACGGAGGAGCGGACGGACCUUUAGCGACCGGCCACGUCAGGAAGCUCGUCAGGUCCGGCUCAAGCGAUCGUGGGGAAGAGUGCAAGCAGAUCCAUGAAAAAUUGAAUGGAAGGAAAAGAAUGAAGUAUUCAGACUCACUGUGUGGGACUCCAGCUCAGAGAUCUUCUCUGGUUGA
Long non-coding RNA from Xiphophorus hellerii (green swordtail), 314 nucleotides. RefSeq lists it as uncharacterized. The record is from RefSeq and is a predicted model, not a curated record. NCBI's taxonomy places the organism in Eukaryota, Metazoa, Chordata, Actinopteri, Cyprinodontiformes, Poeciliidae. The transcript is spliced from 4 exons.